GGCCCAAAAUCAUCCAUUAUCUUUACUUUAGAUACAAAAUAAUACUUAUUGUUUUAACUGGUGCAAUAAUAGUCCUUUUUGUUUAAAAAAUGAGUGCAUUUUUAGUCAUCACCCUAACACUGUGAAUUUUUUUAACAACAGCCUCCUCACGUUCAUAUCAAGUAAACACGAGCACCAUUAGGCAAGGGAAAUCAAUGCAAAAACACAUCAAAUAAGCCUUGAGGCAUCGACGCUGCAUUAACAAUUCAGACUUCUCUGUAUCACUGCAUCAACAAUUGUUUCAAUCUAUUAAUUUCAUGGUCUGAUAAGACUCAUGAAGAUAAAAGAUAACGUCAACUUCUAUGUUAGGUGAUGCCAGAUUCUUCAUCAGGUUAGUAGAGGUUGGUUAGAAUUUUCAUCAGCAUCGAAGAUUUUGGCUAAGAGAAGCUUUAUACGCUGCAACUCAGGCUCUUAGACUACUAAACCUUCUGAUUUAACUUCUUUGAGAUGAUUAAAUGUCACAUUUGUGAAACGUUCCGCUUGAAGAGAUUCUGGGAUAUGAACAUCAUCAUAAAAGUAGGUUUUACUGAAGGAUUAAUCAAUGAUAUUUUACUUUCUUUUCAGUUGCUUGCUCUGUCGUUAACGUGUUAUUUUUGGGUCGCAACUAUCUUGCAGCGUGAAGCCACUGAAACUGCUCAAGUUACGAGUUAUCAACUCUGUCAAGCUGAUGUUGGUAAUUGCUUCCUUAUACUGCUUAUGGUUUGCAACCCAAAUAUACUUGGUUUGUCCUCGUCGAUCAGCUGUUGGUGAAGAGGCUGAUCUCGAAGUUCUUGUGUUUAUGGAAAUAUAUUUUUUCCUCCUCAUUGACUGUGCAUUCAGUCUAUGAACUCAUGAGAACCCCCAAAACUUAUGCCCUUAAUGACUAAAUAAAAAUCAUAGUGACUAGUGACACAGAAAAUCUUAAGGUUCAAAUUGAUUCAAACCCUUGUCAGCAACAUUUUACAGAUUAGGUUUUUUUUGAAGGGAAAAAAAUAGUAUGAUAGAAAGGUAAUUGACUGAUGUUAAAAAAAAUUAACAGUAUUAGGUGAUGAUUAAAAAUACACUACUUUUUAAUUAGUGCACCAAUUGAAAGAAUAUGUAUUAUUUUAUAUGUAAAUAAAGAUAAGGUAUGAUUUUGAGCCUUUACUCUAUUCUCUGGGUAAGAGAAAGUAUAAUCUAUAAACCCUUUGUUUUUUUAGUAUACAUGUUGAUAAUUAGUAGUAAAAAAAGAUGUGGAGUAACAUUCUUUUGUUUUUUUUUUGGGUUCAUUUUUUAUGAACAAAGAAGUUUCGAUAACUUUUAUUUGAAGUUUUGCUUUGGGUCUUUUGAUUCUAACAGAAGAAGACCCAAUUUGGUUAGAUGUAUUUUUUUAUUCUAACAGAAGCCCUAAUUUGGUUGGAUGGGUUUUUUUAUUCUAACAGAAGAUGCCCCAAUUUGGUUAGAUUGUUCACUUGGGAUUUCUUUUCACUUUUGAAUUUAACGGAAGAGAAAAGACCCAAUUCACUUUUUUUAAUUUCUACAUAGAUUAGGUUGUUUCAAAAGAUCUAGAUUUGUAAAGAAGGGAUAGUUUGUAUAUUCUCUCAUUCUUCACUUCGUCACUUUUUGUUCUAAUACGCUAAGUCAAAGAUCUAUUUGCUUUUAAAAUUGAUAAGAGAACUUGCCAUGAAUUUUUGGAGAAAACAGGCAUUUCUUAAUUUACCUUUUUUAUAAGGGCGAAGUACAUAGUUGUUAUGUAAUUACAUAUAAAUUCAUGACUUAUUGUGGUUUUGAUCUGAGUUGUAAAUAAUUAGUUAAUUUCUUUAUGUUUUCAUGUUUUAGUAACUUGAUAAAUCAGAAAAAAAAUAUCUAUUAGCUGUUGUAAUGUUGACUUCACUCUUCUUCUGAUUGUUCUUUAUUGAUGAAUUCUCUAUGAAAAUGUUGCUUUGUUGUCUGUUCAUAUUAGUUGUAGCGAUGGUCAAAUAGUAGUGAAAGAGAUUAAGAAAAAAGGUGACAAGUUCAUCGAAGAAGAUGACACAUGGUCAGCAGCAUAUUUUCUGAAAACAUCCGAGAAAGGAAAAAUAGAUUACCUCCUGAAAAAUGUCCCAAACAUUUUUCCGAACAUUGUAUUUGGAAAUUUCUGGAAAUGUCCAACUGAAAAUCUUUAUUAUAUGUUCGAACUGGGUCUCAAUUAGAACAUGUCAUAGUUCUAGUGUUGGAAUGAAUCUGUUUUGAGUUAAUUUAGACACAUCCAUCGUAGUUUUAUACAUGUACGCGACAUUGCCAGGUGUUAAAAUUGAAGCAAGUCUUAAAUCUGCAGACUUUUGAUUAGGUCUAUUGGUCUCUCAGACAGUGUCUAACAUGAGCAGUACCAUUCACAUCUACGAUCAUAUUGCAAUUUGUCAAUUCUCUUGGAUUUGCUUGACGAUUGCUGAUAUUUUAUUUUGGAUAGUUUUAUGGUUCUGUCGUAUUGUUUGUUUGUUUCUUACAUUAAUUUGUAUGAAGAUUUAGCAGAUCAAUAAUUCAAGCUACACCGAGAUGGCUCUUCAGGGUAUUGUUGGUGCUGUAGAAGCGACAUGGACCAACAAGCAACAAGUAAUUGAGACUGAGCACUUAAUGAAAGCUCCUUUGGAGUAGAAAGAUGGGUUGGCUCAAAGGAUAUUCACUAAGGCUGGGUAACACAUCAGUUUUGCAAGAAACAAGUAAUUUUAUAUCUCAGCAGCCGAAGGUUGUGUGGCCCAAUAUUGGGGUCACAUCUUAGUUCCCUCCUUUACAAUACAAAGAAGCAUAAGAAGGAAAUAGGAGAUUUCAUUGUGUCUGUGGAGAAUAUGUUGUUAGCUUUUCUUUCAGAUAAAAGAUUUGGUCAAAAGUUAUUUAGGAAUCUCCAGCUUACGGAGAAGGCUUUGAAGGAUGCUGUCACUGCUGUUCAUGGAAGUCAGUAACUGAUUCGAGUAUGUAUCUCUCUUUAUGUAUCUUCAAGUUUUGUAGCCAUGUCUCUUCUGAAAAAUAGCUAGGGUGUUCAAGUUGAUGUUGACAGAUGAGCUAAGCUGCCUUUGGCUAUGGCUAGAUUAUGUUUCGCUUCAUCUCCUGCUUAUUGUCCUAAUCUAUUUAUGAUGUCCGAACCAGUGCCAAUUUAGUAAUUAUUCACUGCACACGUACUAUGAAGUCUAAGAUAGGUGGCAAUUAGGUCCAGGGAUAUGAAUUCUUGUAGCAUUUCAGCAGCAUGCUGAUUGCCAGUGUUUGAAAUGCUAAUGUGGUUUAUUUUACAAUGUUUUAGUUCAUUUGUGUUUUUUCGUGUAAUCCUAGAGAAAUUGCUGCAGAAUUUGUAUAUGCAUACUUAUUGUGAAUUGGGCUUAUUAUGGUAAUUUGGUUUUAGAAAAUGGAUGCAUCGGUAGGAAUCCAUAACAAAUGGAUAUUAUAUUUGAGUAUUUGAUGCUUGGUGUUGGAAUUAAAUUUUUUUCAGUGCAUUAUUCGAUUCGAUGUACUUUCAAAUAGAAAGCAAAAGGAUUGAACCUCUCAAAUCUCUGGGAGAGCAAGAGUGUUCUGCAAUUUUCAGUCAAUAAAUUUUGUUUUUGGUUUGUUUAAAGCUGCAACAACAAUUUAUAGAGUAGACUGGACGUCCAAAACUCCACAUGGCUAAUCCAAAUCCUCCUGUAAGUUUUAAGCUUUAUUGUAAAGCUUGUGUAUAUAUGAAAGCUCUGUUUAGCAUCAGUGUUGAUCAGUAUGGGAGCCGAUUCAUUCAACAAAAACUUGAAACUGCUACCACUGAGGAGAAAAACAUGGUUUUCGAGGAAGUUUUUCCCCAAGCUCUUACUUUGAUUACUGAUGUCUUCGGGAAUUAUGUUAUCCAGAAGGUAUGUCUAACUUUGGUUGUUCUAUACAGUAUAUAUUGAUGUUGAGUUGCAUCAUCUUUAAGUCCGUCUUUUUCUCUUUAAAAUAGAUUAUCAUUUACCUAUUUCUCGUGCAGUUUUUUGAACAUGAAAUGGCAUCUCAGAGGAGAGAAAUGGCUAGCGUACUCUUUGGGCAUGUACUAACGCUGAGCCUUCAAAUGUAUAGUUGUCAAUUGAUACAAAAGAUAUACCGAAGUGAAUCCAGAAAUGCUCAUAUGUGCUCAAGUGUUAUCUGCUAGCAUUUAUCUUUUGUUUUGGUUCUUAUUCUAAUACACUGAAUGUAGCACCAACCAGUGGGCUCUCUGGGCUUAUUAUCAGCUUUUCAAUAACUUUUGAGUUAUAUCCAGAUAAAAGUUGUGAUAUGGUUCGCUCUACAGGAAAUAAAAGUUGUUGACAUGUACCAGAAGAUUAAAAUGGUUGAGUAGCUUGAUGGUCAUGUAAUAUGUUGUGUACGAGAUCAGAAUGGGAAUCAUGUCAUUCAGAAAUGUAUUGAAUGUGUACCAGAAGAUCACAUUCAAUUUAUCGUCUCAACACUUUUUGGACAAGUUAUUACUCUCUCUACCCAUUCAUAUGGCUGUCGAGUAAUACCGGUAAUUGAGUAAUGUGUCAUAUUCUUAUCCAUUUGUCGUAGUAAUUUUGUUUGAUAUUUACUAAUAUUCCUUGAUCAUUCGGAGAGUAUUGGAACACUGUAGCAAUCCAGAAACUCAAAGCAAAGUGAUGGAAGAAAUCCUGGAAUCUGUAAGCAUGUUGGCAUAAGAUCAAUAUGGUAAUUAUGUUGUUCAGGUAUGAAAUACUCGCUGCUAAGCAUGUUUUUAAACAAGGUAAAAUUUUGUCAACAGAGCUGCCGCUUCCUUCAGCAGACGUAAGAAAAUUUUGUCAUAGACAUAUAUUAAAUAUUUAAUAUUCCACAUUUUAUUUCAUUGAUUGAUGGUUGUCCUGCUUUUUUAUUAUUUAUAAGAAAAUACUUUAUCUCAUCGCUUUAGAGCCAAUAAUGAGGUCUCUACUCUUAAGUGCAAUUCCACAAGUGGAAUUUGGAGAGGGUAACAUGUACGUAGACGUUACCUCUACCUCGAAAAGGUAUAGAAGCUAUUUUCAAAAGGUUUCUAAUUUCUAUUUUUGACUAUAUUGUAGAAUGAUUGGGUGAUCUGCAGAGUAUUUCAUAAAAUAAUUGGUGGAAAGAAAAUACACAUUUCAGGGCUGAUGAGAGGGAAUUUUGAUGAAAAUGAAGACUUAAUUCUUUUUGCCACCAUUGACAGAUUAUGGAGCUGAAACAACAGCUGAUGUUCCAAGAUCUUUGGAAAGUUUACUAUCAAUAGACGAGUUGUAUGAUGAACUUGAAUCUCUUCUUGAAAGUCUAAAACCCCCAUUUUACUUUCUUUGAUUUUGCUUAUUGGAUCAUUUAUAUAGCAUUAGAAAUUGGAGGUAUCAAGAGACUCUUACAAAAGUUGUUUGUCCUGCUACAUUGCUUUUAUUUUACAUCUUCAGUUCUUCUA
Molecule: long non-coding RNA, 5377 nt
Organism: Capsicum annuum
Lineage: Eukaryota; Viridiplantae; Streptophyta; Magnoliopsida; Solanales; Solanaceae
Exons: 2
Source: RefSeq, a predicted model, not a curated record